UGAGCUUGAUUCCUGGCUCAGGACGAACGCUGGCGGUAUGCCUAAUACAUGCAAGUCGAACGCUGAAGCACUCUGCUUGCAGAGUGUGGAUGAGUGGCGAACGGGUGAGUAACACGUGGGGAACCUGCCCAUAAGAGGGGGAUAACAUCCGGAAACGGGUGCUAAUACCGCAUAGGUGAUCAUAGCGCAUGCUUAGAUCAUUAAAGAUGGCUUCGGCUAUCGCUUAUGGAUGGCCCCGCGGCGUAUUAGCUAGUUGGUGAGGUAAUGGCUCACCAAGGCUGUGAUACGUAGCCGACCUGAGAGGGUGAUCGGCCACACUGGAACUGAGACACGGUCCAGACUCCUACGGGAGGCAGCAGUAGGGAAUCUUCCACAAUGGGCGAAAGCCUGAUGGAGCAAUACCGCGUGAGUGAAGAAGGUCUUCGGAUCGUAAAGCUCUGUUGUUAGAGAAGAACAAGAGGUGUAGUAACUGGCACCUCCUUGACGGUAUCUAACCAGA
RNAcentral lists this ribosomal RNA (499 nucleotides) under Alkalibacterium sp. M11-C16. Its description in RNAcentral is "bacterial SSU rRNA". It matches the Rfam family "Bacterial small subunit ribosomal RNA", at positions 1 to 487 of the family's 1533-position model. The record is from RNAcentral. Lineage: Bacteria; Bacillati; Bacillota; Bacilli; Lactobacillales; Carnobacteriaceae.